RNAcentral lists this ribosomal RNA (450 nucleotides) under uncultured bacterium. RNAcentral's name for it is "partial 16S ribosomal RNA". It matches the Rfam family "Bacterial small subunit ribosomal RNA", at positions 354 to 796 of the family's 1533-position model. The record is from RNAcentral.
GUGGGGAAUUUUGGACAAUGGGCGCAAGCCUGAUCCAGCAAUGCCGCGUGCAGGAUGAAGGCCUUCGGGUUGUAAACUGCUUUUGUACGGAACGAAAAGCCCUGGGUUAAUACCCUGGGGUCAUGACGGUACCGUAAGAAUAAGCACCGGCUAACUACGUGCCAGCAGCCGCGGUAAUACGUAGGGUGCGAGCGUUAAUCGGAAUUACUGGGCGUAAAGCGUGCGCAGGCGGUUUUGUAAGACAGAGGUGAAAUCCCAGGGCUCAACCUGGGAACUGGCUUUGUGACUGGAAGGCUAGAGUACGGCAGGGGGGGAUGGAAUUCCGCGUGUAGCAGUGAAAUGCGUAGAUAUGCGGAGGAACACCGAUGGCGAAGGCAAUCCCCUGGGCCUGUACUGACGCUCAUGCACGAAAGCGUGGGGAGCAAACAGGAUUAGAAACCCCAGUAGUCC